RNAcentral lists this long non-coding RNA (323 nucleotides) under Gopherus agassizii (Agassiz's desert tortoise). RNAcentral's name for it is "lncRNA (ENSGAGG00000014033.1)". Lineage: Eukaryota; Metazoa; Chordata; Testudines; Testudinidae. The record is from RNAcentral.
UAAGACUUUUAACUUAUUGCUCAGAAUAUUUUAAUAUUUUUGUGUUUUCAAAUAUUUAUUACAGUAAGAAAAGACUGAGCUGUGGAAGAGUGAAAAAAUGACAAUAUUUCUUUCUUUCAUAAGGUCUUGAAUGUAAUAAAUGCACUGGACAAGGCAUAAAGACUUCUAUUAAUGCUAUGAAAAUUAACUACAUCACAUUAGCAGCAGAAAAUCUUCAAAGGGCUCCUCCUACAGAUGUUCUGAACAGCUGUGCAUCAUAGCAAUUCAUUACUAUACCCAGAUCUUGAAAACUAAGGAACAGACACUUUGGGGAAAUUAUUUUG